Molecule: long non-coding RNA, 1079 nt
Organism: Corvus hawaiiensis (hawaiian crow)
Lineage: Eukaryota; Metazoa; Chordata; Aves; Passeriformes; Corvidae
Exons: 4
Source: RefSeq, a predicted model, not a curated record
AGUAAACUAGAGAAGCCAGUAAAAUAGAAGCUUGAAACUCAGAAUAAAAAUAAAUCAGUUUUCUUAUCCUCUAACAGAUAGAAAUCCUGGAAGGGUAGAAGAAAGGCAGGGGUCCUGCUGUGAGCAUGAGGCAGGCUUCAUAGAUAUCUGAUGAAGAUCCUGUGAAUACCCUUAUCCCUGGAAAUAAGCAGAAGGACUGCCUAAGAAGUUGAAAAACUGUGUUCGGUCUUCUUGGUAUGUACACAAUCUCUUCAUCUGACCAGACUGUAACUAGGAAAUUUAAGAGGUGAAAAGUGCACAAAAUUAAUUUUACUACAUAGACUUGGAAACUAUCUCCAUUCUCCAGCAACUGUCUGGUCCCCCACCAACUGACAGAAGUUAAGAUGCUGGACUGAGAGGCAGUGGUUCCAUGUGUGAAACAAGCUUUGCAUUGCUGAAUUUACAAUAACAGAAGACAUUCAGUUUUCUGUUCUGUUUACAGAGUAAUGUCUCAGAGAGGAGGAAAUGCAGUGCCCCAUUUUGGAGUAUAUGUUUUCCUAGCUAACACAAGCACAAUGCAGUUUCCUCUGGAGAUGCAGCACAUCCCAGGAGCACCUUCCUAUACUAAACCCAUUUCAGACUACUCAAUACCACACAUCAAGGGAGUUUCAGCUAAACCCUGUAAGUGCUGGAUUUUUUAGUUUUGGUUUAGCCCCUCAUUAUCAAAUCUGUAGCUGUCUCAGGAAGUUUUGUCACAUCUACCUUCUCUUUAUUAUGGAACAGCAGUAUUCUCCCAAUUGUUAAGGUUGCACCUAGCUUUUAAAGUCCUAUAUUUGCCCUUCUUUAACUUUGGCUUAGAAAUUGGUUUGGCCUUAAAAUUUCCAUACUUUGAAGGAAAAGAAGGAUAAUUAAUUUUCUUCAAACAGUGUAUAAUCAAACUAUUUUUAAUUUAGAGGUCAAUUAAAAAUUACCCUGAUUGAAAAUUUACUUAUUUAAUAUUUUGCUACCUCUAACUCAAAAGCUGCUUAUUAUAACCUCGUAAAACUUUUCCUGCACUUAGAUCCUUUUGAUAACUCUUAGGCUUCUUAAUUAAAAAUAAA